CUAAAGGCUCUUUUAAGAACCACUACAUUCCACAAGAGAGUUGAAA
Molecule: non-coding RNA, 46 nt
Organism: Manacus vitellinus (golden-collared manakin)
Lineage: Eukaryota; Metazoa; Chordata; Aves; Passeriformes; Pipridae
Source: Rfam